UCUCCGUAGGUGAACCUGCGGAGGGAUCAUUACAGAGUUCUCGCCCUCACGGGUAGAUCUCCCACCCACUGUUAUCGUUACUGUCGUUUCUUUGGCGGGCCGCCGGGUCCCCGGCCGCCGGCGCCUAGCUGCCGGCGCGCGCCCGCCAGAGGCCUCCAAACUCUGAAUGUUAGUGUCGUCUGAGUACUAUAUAAUAGUUAAAACUUUCAACAACGGAUCUCUUGGUUCUG
This 230-nucleotide unclassified non-coding RNA is filed under the name plant metagenome. RNAcentral describes it as "partial contains small subunit ribosomal RNA, internal transcribed spacer 1, and 5.8S ribosomal RNA". The record is from RNAcentral.